Molecule: ribosomal RNA, 253 nt
Filed under: uncultured bacterium
Lineage: Bacteria
Description: partial 16S ribosomal RNA
Rfam family: Bacterial small subunit ribosomal RNA
Source: RNAcentral
UACGUAGGUGGCAAGCGUUGUUCGGAUUUACUGGGCGUAAAGAGCGCGCAGGCGGUCGUUCAAGUCGCGUGUGAAAGCCCCCGGCUCAACUGGGGAGGGUCACGCGAUACUGAUCGACUGGAAGGCAGGAGAGGGUAGUGGAAUUCCCGGUGUAGUGGUGAAAUGCGUAGAUAUCGGGAGGAACACCAGUGGCGAAGGCGACUACCUGGCCUGUUCUUGACGCUGAGGCGCGAAAGCUAGGGGAGCAAACGGG